This 77-nucleotide transfer RNA is filed under the name Capnocytophaga sp. oral taxon 332 str. F0381. RNAcentral describes it as "tRNA-Arg". It matches the Rfam family "tRNA". Rfam says of the family: Transfer RNA (tRNA) molecules are approximately 80 nucleotides in length. Their secondary structure includes four short double-helical elements and three loops (D, anti-codon, and T loops). The record is from RNAcentral. Lineage: Bacteria; Pseudomonadati; Bacteroidota; Flavobacteriia; Flavobacteriales; Flavobacteriaceae.
GGCCGCAUAGUUCAACUGGAUAGAACAUCAGAUUUCGGCUCUGAGGGUUAGGGGUUCGAAUCCUCUUGCGGUCACAA